AAUGGGGGAAACCCUGAUCCAGCCAUACCGCGUGAGUGAAGAAGGCCUUCGGGUUGUAAAGCUCUUUCAGCCGGAAAGAAAUCGUGCAGGCUAAUACCCUGUAUGGAUGACGGUACCGGAAGAAGAAGCACCGGCUAACUACGUGCCAGCAGCCGCGGUAAUACGUAGGGUGCGAGCGUUAAUCGGAAUUACUGGGCGUAAAGCGUGCGCAGGCGGCUUUUUAAGCCAGAUGUGAAAUCCCCGGGCUUAACCUGGGAACUGCAUUUGGAACUGGAAGGCUAGAGUGUAGCAGAGGGGGGUAGAAUUCCACGUGUAGCAGUGAAAUGCGUAGAGAUGUGGAGGAACACCAAUGGCGAAGGCAGCCCCCUGGGUCGAUACUGACGCUCAUGCACGAAAGCGUGGGUAGCAAA
Molecule: ribosomal RNA, 410 nt
Filed under: uncultured bacterium
Lineage: Bacteria
Description: bacterial SSU rRNA
Rfam family: Bacterial small subunit ribosomal RNA
Source: RNAcentral